CUGACAGGCACACAUACAAAAACUGGAAUGAUACAGAGAUUAGCGCGGCCCCUGCGCACGGACGACAUGCAAAUUCAUGAAGUGAAUGUUCUGAUA
RNAcentral lists this small nuclear RNA (96 nucleotides) under Camelus dromedarius (Arabian camel). The record is from RNAcentral. Lineage: Eukaryota; Metazoa; Chordata; Mammalia; Artiodactyla; Camelidae.